CCUGACGCGGCCCACGGCAACAUGGAGGAUUCCACAGAAGCCCAGGUUGCUGAGGGGUCACCUGCCCCAGUGAAGGGGACAGGGAGUGGCUGACGUGGAAGCCAGAAGACCCAGAUGAGCAAGGUAGUCUGAGAAGCAACCUUCAGCGGCUCUCAAUGCCCAUUCCAGAGUCCUGAGUGAGGCUAUGGAUAAACAGGUACAGAACCAUCUUCUGGGAUCUAGGUUGGUCUCCUCCACAAAGCAAGUUCACACAAGUACAAUCCUGCCCAGCCAUGACCUACCCAUAAGGCAGAGUUUCUUGACCUUAGCACGUUAGAGGCUGGACAAUUCUUGAUUGUAGGGGUAUUGGUAUACCUUGUAUCCCAAGCCUCUCCCCACUAGAUGACUGUAGCACCUUCUCCCCCACCAGUUUAACAACCCAAAGCAACUCCAGACAUCAUCAAAUAUCCCUAUGCUGGCCCAAAUCACCCCUGAUUAAGCAACACUAAUCUGCAGUCAUGUCCACUGGAAGAUGUACUCAGCCCCAAAGGAGAGACUGAGCUAGUCGAGCGGACCUCAUCAUCCCUAAUACGUGGCAGACACGAUGCCACCCUAUCCCUUGUCUUCCCUCUUGGAGCCUCUACUGAGGGCAAUCCCACAAAGUGAGAACGUGUACCUCUCCUUACGUACUCUCCUUCAUCCACGCUCCUCGAAUACAAAUUCCCGGAAUGCAGGAACUACAUCCAACACUCUGAGUUGAUGGAAAGUCCCGAAGAGCAAAGGCUCCGUUUCCAUCUCCAGCCUUCCCUUCCUCCACUUCAGAGCUCAAAGAAAUACUUCUCAUUCCCACGGUUGCCCCUCACUGGCACACCCUUUACCCUGCUGUGCCGCUUAGUUCCCUCGUGCCUGGUAAAACCAGACCCACUGCUUCUCAUGGGACACCAUCCUGGACCGCUUCUCUGCUGCUUCCCAGGACCUUCAUUUCCUCGAUUUCAUUGGAGAAAGCAAGACCUGAGUCUAAUGAACAUCCUAUCCCCCAGGAGCCAGGCCAGAUCCACAAUCCUUUACCUAUGAUCCCCAAAUCCAAAAAGCUCUGAAAACGGACAGAACUUCUGUAUAAUGGUGGCAAAACCUGA
This is a long non-coding RNA of Mustela erminea (ermine), 1115 nucleotides long. RefSeq lists it as uncharacterized. The transcript has 3 exons. Lineage: Eukaryota; Metazoa; Chordata; Mammalia; Carnivora; Mustelidae. The record is from RefSeq and is a predicted model, not a curated record.